CUCUUCUUUCUUUUAAAAAUUUGUUAUACAGAAUCAAGGUGGAAAAGCUUUCUGAAGAAAUCACGCUCUUGAAAAAUGAGGUGGGGAAGAUCUGACAAGAGCUUGAAGCUUCAGAAAGGACAGAGGCUGCACAGAGGCGGAUUCUUUACCGUCUGAACUACCAGGAAAUGGAGUGUGGGCAUCAGAUAAAUGGACUCUUCAGAAAUCGUGAGCUUUCCUGGACACGCCCUUACCUUGUGGGGUGGCCUACCAGCUGUAUGGAGCCACCCAGAGGCUGUGGCUGGCCCGGUCCCAGCACGCCCAGCGGGUGCAGCAGUCGCAGGAGGAGAUGGCACAGCGCGUGCCCACAGGCCGUGUGGCCGAGCUGCAGCAGCUGCUGGAAGGAAGCACAUGAAAAACAGCUGGAAGCAACAGAAGAGCAGGUGGAGGAGGUGGGGAUGACUUAGAAGAACAUGGAAGUGCUCCUCCAAGAGAAAGUGGGUGAGCUGAAGGAACAGUUUGAAAAGAGCACAGGAUCUGAUCUGCUGCUCAAGGAGCUCUAUGUGGAAAAUGCCCACCUGACAAAAGCGCUUCAAGUCACUGAGGAGAAGCAACGAGGCACUGAGAAAAAGUCCCUAUUCUUGUACGGAAAAGUUAGAACUCUCAGCAAACUCCUCAGCAAGAUUGCUACAGCUUCCCUCGCUGUGUAAACUGCUUUUCUUCCUGGAGUUCAUUUUGAAGGAAUGUCUAUUAAAGUAAACCAGUGUGACACCGUAACUUAUUGUGGCUCACUGGCUGUACACCCCUGGAUAAACGAGGAUUGUGAUUCUGUUUACCCCACAAGCAUUUAAUGAAGGGUUGUGUGCCAAAUGCCUGGGAAACACGUUGGAAAGGACUAUUUUUUUUUUUUCAGUGGUCCUUGGGUAACUUCCAGAGUUACAUUCCUAAUUUUGCUACUGAAAAACAAACCAGAUUAUGGGGUUCUCAGCAAGGUAAAUGGUAAAAUAAAACAAUUUUAAUCUUGCACUUCUGACCUUGGCUACAGAGAUUAAAAUGCAAAGUCAGGGCUCUGUAGUUUUACCAUUGCACUGUUAGUUCUAUGGGUUUAGUCACUGGCAUUCUCGAUGGUGGAUCGGUGUAGACACUCCAGAAAUGCUACACUUUCUGUAACUUUCAACUAUUGAUAAGGGAUAGAGGAAGGAAGCCUUUUUGUCAGGGCCUGUUGCACCACGAGGGAGGUCUAGACAGUGCUGGUGUUUUAGGGCUGUGGACUCAGGGAGGAUGGUAUCGUAUCCAUUGUGAAUGCAAUCUUUUCCUCACUGAAGUGUCAUCACACUGCAAAGUGUAUUAUAUGUUUAAAAACCAGGAAAAAAGUACAGUUUUAUAUUCAAGAUAUACAUAAAUUAUGAUCAUUUGAUUGAUCAGAAUUAACUACUGUAAUAUGAAGUCACUAUCUGCAAUAAAAUCCUUUUCUAUUAAAAUGGAUUAACUUCUAAAUAUUUUUUAAACUAAAAUAUUUCAAAGAUAUAGAAAAAUAGUUCUAUAGGAAACAUUCAUAUGUAUUCCAUAAACAUGCAGAUGUGUUAAGAACAUUGUCACAUCUUGGACAGAAGCCCAGUCCCUGUUCUACUGCAGCCAACCUCUUUCCUCUUCCUGGUGGCAACCGCUCUCCUGAGGCUGCUGCAAGCCCCUUCCCCUCCAUCUGUCUGCACAUUUACUGUACGUGCUUGAACGAGAAAAACCUUAAACCGCUGGAAGAGAUGGAAAGCUCAGAUCUGGGGUAGGAGGGCUCAACAGCAUAAUGUGGACUCUUCUCUCCAUGCA
RNAcentral lists this long non-coding RNA (1803 nucleotides) under Cervus hanglu yarkandensis (Yarkand deer). RNAcentral describes it as "lncRNA (ENSCHYG00000010264.1)". Lineage: Eukaryota; Metazoa; Chordata; Mammalia; Artiodactyla; Cervidae. The record is from RNAcentral.